Long non-coding RNA from Amphimedon queenslandica, 385 nucleotides. RefSeq lists it as uncharacterized. The transcript has 6 exons. The record is from RefSeq and is a predicted model, not a curated record. Lineage: Eukaryota; Metazoa; Porifera; Demospongiae; Haplosclerida; Niphatidae.
UGAUAUCUUCAUUACUAAACUCUCUCUCUCCCUCCAAUUCCUUCAUUUGUUUAAUUUCAAAAACACUCACAGAUGAGUGUCACAACACUGCCCCUUGGUUCAACACUAAAUACAAUGAAGAAGUUGUCAGUUUAGAAUGGGAAAAGAGUUGGAAAAAUUUGUCUCUUAAUCCUGAGCUCCAUUUGCCGCACCCAAACAAGUUUAUCGCUUCCGAGUUUGAGCUGUUAGCUGAAGAUGUACCACAGACAAAAUAUCCAGUAAUUAUCAAGGAAACUCCUCAUUAUAAAAUCUGGUACAAGAAGGAUGAUGUUUUUGAUCUCCCUAAAGCGUCAAUUUGUGUCUCGUUUGUUACUCCAAAUGAAUUCCAGUUGGCACCAGAAACGUG